Molecule: ribosomal RNA, 422 nt
Filed under: uncultured bacterium
Lineage: Bacteria
Description: partial 16S ribosomal RNA
Rfam family: Bacterial small subunit ribosomal RNA
Source: RNAcentral
AAUAUUGGACAAUGGGGGCAACCCUUAUCCAGCCAUGCCGCGUGUGUGAAGAAGGUCUUCGUAUUGUAAAGCAUUUUAAGUUGGGAGGAAGGGUUUUAGGCAAAUACCCUAAAGUUUCUAUGUUACCAACAGCACAAGCCCCGGCUCACUCUGUUCCAACCGCCGCGGUAAUACAGAGGGUGCAAGCGUUAAUCGGAAUUACUGGGUGUAAAGCGCGCGUAGGUGGUUCAGUAAGAUGGGUGUGAAAUCCCCGGGCUUAACCUGGGAACUGCUUUCAUAACUGCUGAGCUAGAGUACGGUAGAGGGUAGUGGAAUUUCCUGUGUAGCGGUGAAAUGCGUAGAUAUAGGAAGGAACACCAGUGGCGAAGGCGACUACCUGGACUGAUACUGACACUGAGGUGCGAAAGCGUGGGGAGCAAACA